Cornus florida is the source of this 101-nucleotide small nuclear RNA. The record is from RefSeq and is a predicted model, not a curated record. Lineage: Eukaryota; Viridiplantae; Streptophyta; Magnoliopsida; Cornales; Cornaceae.
GAUCCUUUGGGACGUACGCUAAAAUCGGAGCUUAACAGAGAAGAUUAGCAUAGCCCCGCGCAAGGAUGACACGCACAAAUCGAGAAAGUGGUCCAAUUUUU